UGCCAGACUUGUAGUGGUUGAAUCCCCCGU
This 30-nucleotide non-coding RNA is filed under the name Mus musculus (house mouse). Lineage: Eukaryota; Metazoa; Chordata; Mammalia; Rodentia; Muridae. The record is from RNAcentral.